UCACUGCUUGUGCCUCUCCUUCCCUUCACAGGUGGGUCCCUGGGAUCCCCAGGUUUCUGCAAUCUACUACAGCCCUCACUGGUGAGUGAAAAAGCAGAGACCGUGCUUUCCAGCGCAAUCCGUGCGGCACCUUUGGCCACUGCUGGUACUGUCUGCAUGAAAGCACACAAGCAGGACUCGGAAAAAGAAAUGAAGGAAAAUUUGGAUGGAUUUUUUUUCGCCCAAACCAAAUUUGAUACCGGGAUUUCUGGACUUGUGGAAUAUUUAGAGAAGCUGAGAGCAGUUUGUGCAGCGUUUGGACAAGCACUAACCACUGGAAGCUCUGUUGUACUGCUUCCCUUUGGCUGGAACAGCGGGGAUGGUAGGGGUAAGCAACAGAAGCGCAUAUUGUGUGGCUUGCUGAGUUCGCGUAGGAAUGGCCUUGCUAGCGAUGGAGGGAAAAUCCAGACCUCCCAAGUACCAAACCAGCAUCUCCAUCGAAGAUCAUCCUUCUGCAUGGUUUCUGCUCUGGUUCCUGGAUGAUGCUCAACCCUUCUGUUCCUGCAGUGGAGCACGUGUUUGGGACAAUGCAUGCAGCAGCUGAUGGAGAAUGCGCUGGCAUUUUGGAGGUGCUCAGGUCUGUCCCAGGAUACAGGAAGAUCUCUUUAAGAGCUAAGCCACUGUUGUGCUGCCUCCCCAGCUAGUUCUGCAAACCAGCUGCCUGCCUGUGUGAGCACAGAUGCGACAAAGGAAUUGCUUGAAACUGGAAGUUCUUGCACCAGUCCCUUUCCAGCCUGUCUCCUGAUGCUGGCUAGUCCCCACCAUGCCCUCCAUCCUGAAGUGCAUCUGAUGGCGUUUCUAGCUGUAAGUAGGUGCUUAAGUUGCACAAAGCUUUUAAGCAGAGCUGGUAAAUACUUUCGUUUAUGUUACAGUUGCCUGGUCUAGUUGAAGAAAAAGCAAUGGAAAGGGGAAAAGGGAAGAAGAUGGGAGUCUUGCUGUCGCAGUUAGCCAGGUUAAAUGUCACUAAUGGCAUACAAAUACUACUACUUAUCUUAAGGGUUCUUUGAGCAAAGAGCUCCUUCCAGCAUCCAGUCUCUGCAGUACCCCCCAGUUCAUGUCACUGGUUGGCACUAAUCUUGAGGCAGUGACGUUAUUGGCCCUUCAAGGACCAACUCAAAUCCAACAAAGCUCUUGAAAAGAGCACGUCCCAGCUGCCGCCUGCAUAAACCAGAGCAGCAAACUAAGUGCAUAAACCAGUACCAUUCAACAGCUCCUCUGUUAAUGUAGCACUAUGUUCUUGCAAUUAAUGAGUUCUCCCAGUCAGAAGCUGACAUCAGUAGAGUAAGAAAACAGGCUCCAUGUUCACUGCAUGGAAAAAGGUGUGGGAAAUGAUCAUCCAUUUCUCACUUAGGUGUGACACACACAAUUCUCGUCUCUAGGAUCAUUUAUCCUCUAUCUUCAGUAUUUCUAGAGCCUAAUUAUUAUUAAAUCCCAGUGCCUUCCAGAGGUCUGUUUAUUCAAGACCUGCACAGACUGGGUAUGUGAGCUAUAAUGGGAUUUGGGCUCCUUUGGGAGGGAAAGCCCAGUCCAGCAUGCUCUGAGAAGCCAGCACUAUCCCUUACCUUUGCACCCAGGGCUGACUGCUGUAGUUCACAAUUCAAGAGCUGCACAGUAAAUUGCAUGUGGUCCAGAGGCUAUGGGGCAUCCAGGAGGUGAUUUCUGGAGGAACCCUACUUGUUAGUGCUGUUAGUUGUGUAGGGGCUAGAUGGGCAUUCACAGGUCAAAUUAUGACAGUUUUGCCAGGAAAGCCACCUGCUUAUCACAUGCAGAACUCCCCAAGUGAUCUUGUGCCAUGCUGCUUCAUUUCCUGUGGCACCGCCUUUUGCUCGAUCGCUUCCUAAAUUGUACUUUGCACCAGGCAAGACUGUGGAUGAAUUAUGUUCAUUUGAAGCAUUAUCAUUUAGAUCUGGCAGAGAGAUGACAAGUUUGCAAAAAAAAUGAAUGGAAAAUAAUCCAUUCUUUGCAGGCGGUCUGAAUUCUUCCGUCGUCUUCUCUCAAGGUCGCUGUCAAUCACGAGCACAGUUAUAUCUCAGCUCUUGUAGAACAUCUCUCCCUUGCUAUUCAGCUUCAUUAUGUUUCCUAUUUUCUCUUGCCUCCCAGAGCAGCAUUAUACUGCACUUUCAUUGCAGCUCACGAGGGAAGGGAGCCCUCAUAAGCAAACUUCCUGUGAAGGGAAUAGUCCUGAUAAAAAGCUGUUUGUGUGCGAUGAGAUGAUGCCUACCUUUCAACCACUCCUCUGUCUUCCUCUGUGGCCCAUUAUAAAUAUGACAGCAGGCAGGUACAGACUGCUCGCAAGCAGAGAACCUUUUCUUCCCCCUAACAAAUUAGAGCCCAGCUUCUCAGAAGGACAGCACUGAUCAUCUGCUUCUGUUUUCUAAGGUAAGGCUGAGAACAGCAAGCUGUAGUGCAGAGCCACAGGCAUGAACUCUGUGGGGCUGAAGUGUAUGCAGAAGCCCAUUUAACUCCUGGGGCCAAGCACAUCUUCUGCUACAAGAAGUUGUACCAGGGACUGGCUGGACCCUUUCAAUGUUUAUUGGUAAUUUUGUAGAAAACAUACUGUGUUGAAGAUGCUUCUCCGUUUGAGUUAACAUAGGAACGUUCUCCAAAAACACAGAGCAUGUACAGUAUUUUUAACAAAAAAUGGCUGCUUAAAAUGCAAGGAAGAGUGUAGCUAAUUAAGACUGAUCAUUUAAAAUUAGCGCAUGGAGGUGAGAGAAUACAGUCCAAUCCAAUUAGAGCAGAGCAUUUUGCUAAGGGCACAUAUAAAAACAGGUGCUCUGGAGGGGAAAAAAGUCUAGAGGCUUUUUUACUCCAGCCUACAAAAUGAGACUAUGCCUUUUUAUGGUAAUUUUAAUAUUCUUCCUAUGACUUUGCUUUGCAGUGGAAAAGAAACAGAGGUAAUGAACACGCAUAGUUCUUUAACAGCUGCAGCACAUGUAAUUUUUUUCCAGCUCUCCCCAAUUACCCAUAUGUGGUAUGAAACAUACAUUUUACUUUAAGACCUAGAGCAGAUCAGAAGCACUCAACAUGUUAUAUAUAUGUUCAGUUAGGAACUUUAAAUUAGAUUGCAGUUCAGUGUUGUGGACGGUGUCAGAACAAGGUUUGUUCCCAGCACAGUCUAAAUGACAGGGCAAUCGAUGAGGGCUAAGUAUGUCACCCUCUGAUUGUUAUAUACAGUAGAUAGGUGGCUCUGUGACACUCAGCAGUCCCACAGUUUGGAGAGAUGUUCCUUUUUUAAUUCCUCAAAUUCACAGCAUCCGCUCUCGGUUUGAUUCCUAUACCUCUUUUUUAUUAGUAAAACUGAUGUAUAUUAAGGAUAGAUGCAUGUUGUGCUGAGCGUGCGUCAUCUAAUUAAAGGGGCAAUGCAAACAUUUCUGAAGUUUCCUGUAUACAUUGACCUCUGGGGGGUCAUCUUUGUUUAUCAUUUCUUUGAACUUCGACAAACUGAUAUCUAUGUAGAGCUUUCUCGGAGGAAGGUCGGUUUGCUUUGAAAGGAAUAGCUCAUUUAAGCCCACUUAGGACAUGCUCCAAAGCCAAGAUGAGUCAGGGCUUGAACUGACCGCAGGUUUCAUUGAGCAAGUGGACACAUCCCUGCCCUCAUACAUCAGAGGUCUCUCAAUAGGCUGCUUUUCGUGUCUAUGGGUAGUGCACUCUGCCUGCUUAAGGCCUGCCUCGAAGGGUGACUGCUGUCCAUUGCCCUAUUCAUUCAGAGGGCUGUAGCCGUCAUUCUCAGACAAGCCACAGGCAAAAGUCUCACAGUUUUCAGUAGAUGAGGAGACCCACUAAUCCAUCCAAUGUAUGUUUGUCACAGCUCAGCGUGCUGCGUGGCUUUCGCUGCGUGGAGGUUGGCUGCCUCUCACGUCCAUCCAGCGCACCUUCAGAGCAAGUCACCUAGCAGUGCAGCUUUGGAGCAGGAUGUGACUCACGCUCCUGGGACUUGAGCACCAGGCCCAGGCAUAGCAGCAGUGAGAACAAACCCAGUGAUCACAUUAGAGUAUUCUCUGAUUUUACCAUAUGGAAAGCCUGAGGCAGUAGAGAGAAAGGUAGCAGGCCAGUCACCUUCUCCAGCACCACUGUUUUAUCGUUCUGUUGGAGUGGGAUUGCAGCCUUCACUCCAGAAGCCCCAGGCUCAGCUCACCAAAGAUCGGUCCAGUCUCCAGGCUGGAAGGAGCUCCUUGGUUGGAGCCCCCAUGGUCUCCUGAUUCUGCUGAUCAGGGAAAUCAUCUAGGGAUGAAAGCUCAACCUUGCUCUCAGACACAGCUGGGCCUCUCUCCUUGUGCCUCAGAUCAGGGGAAAGGAGUUAGUCUCUAGUCUGGAAGCACUGUUGGGGUUAGCUCCAUCAUGGGGUUAGCCCCAGUGAUUUGAUUUAGCAGUAAAUGGGUCUACCCCUCUGGGGCUAAUGCACAGCAUGCACCAUUUCCUCUAUAAAGUCUCUCCUUUUUGAGGUAGGGAAAUUAAAGCAGGGUAAGUGUAUAGAAGAAAAUCAGUAAGUAAAAUCUUUUCUUAUCUGUGACGUUAAUAGGUUGGAUCUGUAGUUUUUUUUCUUAGGCUGAACAGAUUCUGAUGUGAGCACACUGAUGUUGUUUCAAACCUGACAUUGUUUUUAGAAGGAAUCUCCAUGGUGUAAAUUGUAGCUUUGCUGGGGGAUGUGACUUGGAAAAUACAAGGGUGUGUAAAGAGAAUGUUCAAAGAAAAAUGUAUCCUUUGGAAAUGGAAUGAAUCAACUGGCUUUCCAGGGACAAAUUUAUAGGAUUCAGUUUGAGACAAUCACCACUGGUCUGUACAGCAGCCUUAGAGCCUUCAUAGUGCUUGAAAUUUUUUGUAGAAUUUGCACCUCACAUGGGACCAGAGAUCCAAAUGUUAACGUAGAGCCUUAAGGUUUGUGCCGUGCAUGCUAGCGAACAGAGAAAUUGUAGCUUCUAAAAUGUCAGAGCUCAGUCAGUAGAGUUGCACAGAAUUGCCCCCAUGAUUCAAAUUUUAUGGUUCUGUGUUUAAUUAAACCCUUGUUUGGUGUUUCAGUGCAUUCCUUGCUGCACUGAGGUAGCUACCUUUCAGUGACAUCUUCUCUUUUCUGUUUUAUUUGGGUAAUUAUGCUGCCUUGAUCACAAGCAAUAUUGGAGUUCUUUAAAGAAGUACCUUCAUCACAGGACUUGCGUUUAUCUUUGGUGGUUCUCCCUUCCUCCUUGUCCCCCUGGUGAUAACAUCGAAAAGACCAUCCUUUCAAACGUGAAGUACAUUGAGCACAAACCAGUGUGUGUUUCCCAGUUCUCCUUGGAGAUUAGACUUCAGCAAUGACGAGACAGAUGGAAUGAGUCCACAGGCCUCUGCAGGGCUAGACUGCAAAACCACAGACUUCACCAAAGCCCUUUGAGCCAGUGAGCCUCCCAGCAGAGUCCCUGUCCCUCUUUUUUGACUCAGGCCUGGAAAUAUAGACAGGAUCUUUAAGCAUUUGCCAAGCUGCGAAGAGAGAGAUGGGGUCAGGCUGGCCAACCCUCUGAGGUGGCGGCAGAAGAGAAGGAGAUGAGCCUGGAUGAAUGCAGCAAUCCACCUGACCUUCAAGACUCGAAAAGUGGUUAGGACAAGACAAGGUUGUCCUUCCUUUUAAGGCUCCUCAGAAGAGGCUUCAGCCUGACAUGAGGGGAGCCCGGGGAGGACCGAAGCGGGUCUGGAGGAGGUGCAUGACCUUCUGAAAAGAUCCUGGUACAACACCACCACUAGAAGCAAGAAGCAGAUGCGUCCGUGUGGCUUUUGUGCAUCUAAAGGCAGAGAAAGAAGUAGUGCAAGAUCUGCUCGGUGCUGGAGAGGGAAGAAUUUCCAUGUUUCUGAACUGCACGUGCAGCUCUCCCUGCGGCAGGCAUCUGAGAAAAGCCAGGAUGGACCGACAGCUGAGCAGGCAGUCUGACUGAAGGAAAAGAGCUCGUAGGGCACUUAAGAAGCCCUUCCCCGCUGAACUUUGGCUUCCGCCGUUACAGCUCUCUGUGGGACAGGACAGCGUAACCCCGGCGAGCCUCCCCCCUCCAGGGCCUGCUGAUGAGAGCGGAGGCCCCUUUAGGUGCCUUUCCACCACCGGUAACCACAGUUCCUCCCUCUCUGUGAACUCGCCAUUUCACCGUGCCCAGCCGUACGGCCGUUCAGCACAACACGUGCAAAGCCCUAACGAAGCCCAGGGCAGGAAACUGGCCUUUGCAGACGUGUCUGAGGCUGUGGUUACGUGGCCGUUUUAAUUAGCUGUAUGCCCGCGCUGCCACCGGAGGAGAUGUCCUGCCCGCCUCGCCGCUCGCAGCCGCCCGUCCCCUGCCUUUGCCGGACUGCUGCUCACACGGCCGCAGCGGGAGCGAAGAAGAGGGGCUGUCGGCAGGCUGGUGCCCUGCCCCGGCUGGCUGUGGGGACACACCUCGCUGCCUCGGCGCGGUCCGGGGGACGGCGUGCCCGGCUGCGGCGCGGCUGAAGCGCUGCCGUACGCAGCCUCUGGCCGCCGCUCCCGGGGGGAAGCGCCCUGCGCGCUCUUCCCUGCUUCGUGUCGCCGCUCGACACCCGGCUGGUGGCUCUGGCUAACGUGAAUACUUAAAGGGGUGGCUUAAAGUGCGGGUCCGUGUUGCUCUUGCAGUCCUCCAUCCUCAUGAGACGCUUGCCUUACCGGCUGUCGGUCCAGCAAGGCCUGUCUCGUCCCGGUGGCAAAACAGUUGUUUGCUUUUUUAGCGCAUCUCGGGCUCCCAAUGAUUAAAAGCCCUGUUGUUCUUAUUUUGCCGUUAAAUGGACGUGAGGAGGCAGGACAGCAAACUAGAGAACAGUCCUGAGGCUAAGACACAAUUAUCGAGGCAAACAUGGGAGAACAUUUAGCUGGCGAAAUGAGGUUAGCGAGGCAGUUUGUCCCCACAUCUGGCCAGAGACUGGCUUUAAUCUUAAUAUACGCGUGGCCUGCGGCCAGCGCACCUCGAGCUGUUAUCCGUCACGUGUCAGGAGUUAAACAGGGCCGGGAGAGCGGAGAGCUUGGCUGCGACCUUCCCGGGGACCUGCUGAGCCGGGGCCUUGUGCAGGCAGAGGGUGCCCGAGAUCUGGCCACGGGCGUUAGAGGGGGAACCUCAGGCUUGGCCACAUCACAGCGUUUCCUAAAAGUGCAGGUGGUGGUCCCUGGAUCCUUACCAGCUCCUGUGGUUACCUCCGCGCGUCCUUUAACCUCCCUGUAACUUCCCCUGCAAAACGGGCUCUCCACAGAGGAAGAGAGCAGAGAAUGACACAUUUCCCCAUCACGGGUACCUGUGUAGCAGCACCAGGGAGGAAAUCCAGGUAUUUACCUACGGCCAAGAUCAGACAUUUAUAUAGGUACCGCUCUGCUAACUUCACCCCUUCCAAGAGACCUGAAAUGAGUCCAGCUUCUGAAGAGCAUUUAAAUGGUCCCAGGAAGAAAACUGCCUUGUACCACCCUCCUCUGAAUGCAGGAGCAUAGGCCAAGGUAACAGAUGUGCCACCACACGCUAGUUUACAGGUGACUAUUUCGUGUUUCCCUUUCUGAGCCUUGCUGGAGCUGAAUGCAACCAACAGUACUGUUCACUUAUGAAGUGGAGGAGAAAAGCUUUGCUUUGAUUAAACUGACUUGCCUUUGGAUGAAAGUGUGUGUGGUCCUGCAGAGACACAAGCAGAGAAGGACAGCACUGCAGAUAAGGAACACCAGAGGAGAUAAUUCCUAAAAAAAGGAAUAAAUGAAAAUGUACUGGGAAGGUAUAUGCAAAACCAUGAACAUGCUUUUGCUGAGGUUAUAGUCAGUGAUUGACCAUGUAAAAAUGGGACUGGCCUACAUUUAUUUGUAGUGAUUUCCUCUGUACUAGUUGUUCUGUGUUUAUUUUUCAUUCUCCAUGACUUCUAGGCUGUUUACAAUGCGUGGCCCUGAGGGCACUGAUAGACCUUAAUGACCCUGACCAGCCUGACCCGGGGCCUCCUCCUACACCUCCCACCAGCCCAUGGGCUCUGGGGCCCUGUUUAAGCUCAGGCCUUCCUUCUCUGAGCUAUGCUCUGAGGGUGUUGAUGUCCAGCUCAGCCAUCAUCUGUGCUCCUGCCUGACCAUGGACUUCUGGUCUGUGCCCCGACCUGUGGGCCGACUUCCCGGCCAGACCUCAGGCCUGCACUGUCCGUAUGGACCUUCCAGCAGCUGCCAGACCUGAUCCUGACUCGUGGAUUGACUUCCUGGCUGGCCUCAGAUCUGCCUCAUCACCUUGAACGUGCCUGAUGAGCUGGGCUCUUGGUUGAAUCUGGAUAUGACCUCAGGGCGUGCCUUGCCCGGGGGUGGUGGGAUGGGGCCCUGGCUGGGGAGGCCUCUGCCCUGGUGGCUGUUACUGCGCUUGGUUCCCAGCUCCCCAUCUCUUAGGGAGCAGCUGACCCUUGCUGAUCCCUGACAGCUUUUCUUUUGUGCCCUCCACUCCUCUCCCUCCCCAACCUUGGAUUUGAAAAAAAUCAGUCCUGCCGCUUAAGCUGUGUCCUGCAGUAAAGACUCAGUAGGCAAGAGCUGGGGGUCUGCACUGGCAUGUGAGAAGAGCUGGCUGCUGUGUCAGGCAGUCUUCUUCACCUGCAGUUAAGUAUCUGGGAUGGUCAGAGCAGCCAGCAACUUCAGUCUGCUGCUUUUGUUGUUUUGGACAAACCUAAUGCUAGGUGAGGUGUUAGGCUCGGAUGGUGUGUCCUGUUCUGAGCUGCCCUUUUGAGCAGGUGAAGCAGUGAAGAUGCUGUCCAGAUCCACUUCCCCUGCCAGGCUCAGACUGUUCAGAGGAGCAGUGUUGGUGCACGGGUCGUUGCAGCCCUUAGUCAUAGCAACGAGGACCAAAGGGGCCAGAUCCUGAGCUGCAUGGGUUUGCACUGCUUGGCUUUUGUGUGUGAGGCUGUGCUGAUUCUCUACACCUGACUACGUGGCCUGGGCGCGGGGGGAGAGCAGCCCUUCUUCUUACUCCUUAGCUCAAAAGGAAAUGUUGGUAAGGCGGGUCCAAAGCCAAACCUCUUUGUGGAGUAUUUUCUAUUAAGUAAUCAUUUGCAUUCCUCCAGUAUCUGCACUUGUAAGCACGCAGUGGCUUUUUUGAGAGCUCACUGUGGGCCAAAAUCUAACCCUGCUGAAGGCAGCUGGACCUCUUGUCUUGUACUAUAGCAGUUUGGGAAUCUGGACCAUGCGAUGAGGUUGGUCUGGCCAUGGUGUUUCUUGGCUGUAAAGGAUGGGAAAUGUCUGCGGCUGGGCUGCAGUACAACACGGUACUAGAAGAGCUAAGGAGAUUAAUUAACCUGCUCAGCAUUUUUGCUUUCCUCGCUCCACACACUGUACAGCCCUACAAUGCUUUUAUUGUAUGGAAAACAAAGCUCUUAUGCUUGAAUGUAGCAGCUACAGUAUUGUGUUCUUGCCUUAAGUGAAGGCUCCUCAAGUGAUUUAAGUCCUUCCUUGUCACUGUUGAUAGAUAGUUGCCAGGGUUAAGAGAACUUCCUCCUUUUCUUUCUUAUUCUUCUGCUUAAUUUGUAGCCAGGGGGAAAAAAAAAAAAAGAGGUGUUUUCAUGCAGGGCCAAGUUAUUAACAUCUUAUUUGGGUAGCAGGCCCAGCAGUAUUUCCAGAAGUAAAGCAAUUACAGUUUAUCCAAGUUUUUGGAGACAUCUGAAAAAAAGGACAUUGUCUUUCCUUCACAUGGGGGAGAAGCUGUUUGCACCAGUUGCCCGUCUCUCCUGGGUGUCAGCACAUCGAUUUGACAGGAGGCCAGGAGAGAGCCUGUGCUUGCAUGCCUGGAAAUCGGGGAAGGAUGCUGUGGUGUAAAGAGUGACCUUGCGUUCAGGAAGGGCUGGUUCAGUUCCUUGCUCUGACGCAGGCUCCCUGUGUGGCUUUUGUCUGCAGGAGAAAGUUGCACCGCUUCUGAACUGCCUUAAUUAAACUGGAACAAACCAUUGUA
Long non-coding RNA from Dromaius novaehollandiae (emu), 9947 nucleotides. RefSeq lists it as uncharacterized. The transcript has 10 exons. NCBI's taxonomy places the organism in Eukaryota, Metazoa, Chordata, Aves, Casuariiformes, Dromaiidae. The record is from RefSeq and is a predicted model, not a curated record.